This 427-nucleotide ribosomal RNA is filed under the name uncultured bacterium. Its description in RNAcentral is "partial 16S ribosomal RNA". It matches the Rfam family "Bacterial small subunit ribosomal RNA", at positions 355 to 774 of the family's 1533-position model. The record is from RNAcentral.
UGGGGAAUAUUGGACAAUGGGCGAAAGCCUGAUCCAGCCAUGCCGCGUGUGUGAAGAAGGCCUUCGGGUUGUAAAGUACUUUCAGCGGGGAGGAAGGCGAUAAGGUUAAUAACCUUGUCGAUUGACGUUACCCGCAGAAGAAGCACCGGCUAACUCCGUGCCAGCAGCCGCGGUAAUACGGAGGGUGCAAGCGUUAAUCGGAAUUACUGGGCGUAAAGCGCACGCAGGCGGUCUGUCAAGGCGGAUGUGAAAUCCCCGGGCUCAACCUGGGAACUGCAUUCGAAACUGGCAGGCUAGAGUCUUGUAGAGGGGGGUAGAAUUCCAGGUGUAGCGGUGAAAUGCGUAGAGAUCUGGAGGAAUACCGGUGGCGAAGGCGGCCCCCUGGACAAAGACUGACGCUCAGGUGCGAAAGCGUGGGGAGCAAACA